RNAcentral lists this long non-coding RNA (313 nucleotides) under Brassica napus (rape). RNAcentral describes it as "long non-coding RNA (BNAP_LNC021440)". Lineage: Eukaryota; Viridiplantae; Streptophyta; Magnoliopsida; Brassicales; Brassicaceae. The record is from RNAcentral.
AAGGGAGCUUAAUUUCCAGGCAUUUGCCUGUUUGCUUCUUUGUUGGUGUAGGGUGUUUGGCUUGCUUGUUCUGGUUUGGUUCCGUGAACUUUAGCUUCAGGUUUUCUUGGUCUUGGGUCAUUGUGAAGACAUUGCAUCGCUGUUUCUUCCUGGUGCGGUUCGAGGCAAGUUUUCCGGCUCGUCAAAACUCAGAAGUCUUAUCUCUAGUCUCCUCCUCAAGGUUUGUGUUCGAGACUGGAUGCAAGAGUUAUGAUUAAUCUUGUGUUUGUAGUAGUUUUUGUAUGGAACCCGUUGUUUGGAUUUGAGCUUCCCC